GGAUUAGGCAUGCAAGUCGAACGAGGAAGUGCCCCGUAAGGGGCGCAAGCCUAGUGGCGAAAGGGUGAGUAAUGCAUUGAUAACCUGCCUUUGAGAUGGGAAUAACUGCGUUUCGAGCAAUCGGAACUACCGAAAGGGCUGCUAAUACCCAAUAAUACUAUAGGUGCAAAAGCACUUGUGGUCAAAUGCUAGGAAUUCUGUUCCUUGUGCUUAAAGAGGGGUUAAUGUCCUAUCAGCUAGUUGGUGGGGUAAUGGCCUACCAAGGCAAAGACGGGUAGCCGGCUUGAGAGGGUGGUCGGCCACACUGGGCCUGAGACACUGCCCAGACUCCUACGGGAGGCUGCAGUCGAGAAUCUUUCGCAAUGCCCGAAAGGGUGACGAAGCGACGCCGCGUGUGGGAAGAAGGCCUUCGGGUUGUAAACCACUGUCGGGAGUUAGGAAAUGCAGGUGCGUUAAUAGCGCACUUGCUUGACUAAGGCUCCAGAGGAAGCCACGGCUAACUCUGUGCCAGCAGCCGCGGUAAUACAGAGGCGGCAAGCGUUGUUCGGAAUUAUUGGGCGUAAAGAGCACGUAGGCGGCCUUGCAAGUCAGUUGUGAAAGCCUUCCGCUUAACGGAAGAACGGCAUCUGAUACUACAGGGCUUGAGUACGGGAGGGGAGAGUGGAACUUCUGGUGGAGCGGUGAAAUGCGUAAAUAUCAAAAGGGACCCCGGCGGCAAAGCGACUUUCUGGUCCAA
This 736-nucleotide ribosomal RNA is filed under the name uncultured Planctomycetota bacterium. RNAcentral's name for it is "bacterial SSU rRNA". It matches the Rfam family "Bacterial small subunit ribosomal RNA", at positions 46 to 737 of the family's 1533-position model. The record is from RNAcentral. Lineage: Bacteria; Pseudomonadati; Planctomycetota.